GUAUAUAUAUAUGGAUAUCUAAGUAGAUAUAGGAUAUAUGAAUAUAGAUGAUAGUAACCAAUUUUUUUUGCCUUGGUUUAAAAUAGUUUACACUAUCAUCAGCUUUUUAUCUAUGUUGCUAUGAAAUCUGAAUAAUCAUUAUUUUCAAAGGCUGGAUGAUAUUUCAGGAACAAUGACCUUUUUAAAAAAUGUGGUAAAAUACACAUAAUAUAAAAUUUACAGUUAAUAAUUUAAAUGUACAGUUCAGCAGCAUUGAGUACAUUCACAUUGAUGCUUUUAUCACCACUAUCCACCUACUUUUUGUAUUGCAAAACUGAAACUCUGUACCCAUUAAACAAUAACUUCUCUUCCCCAAGCCAUGGUAGCCAUACAUUCUACUUUCUGUUAGCUACAACUUGAUGGGAAUCUGAUUGUGGUCCAACUGUUCUUUCCUAGCUGUUAUUGGAAAUAGAUAAAAAAUUAGGGGCAUGGUCAACAUGUAUUUCUUAAUAUCCCAAGUAUUUUAAUUUGCUGAAUCUAUUGCAUCUUGUCUUCACUGGAUAAUAGACUUGUUAUGAUAGUGCUCAAAGGCAAUAAAAUGCAGUGGUCCCUCAUCCCAACAGCUGCUCAGGAGUCCCUUAAGAAUUUACUUUUGAGGCCCUGGGUGGAGACUAGGGUUGGGGGGCAGGGUAAUGGAGAGGUGGUUUGGGUACAGAAAAAAAGAGGGUGAGUGAGCUGACCCUGUCCCAAACUAGAUAAACUCUGUUUUUCUUUUCCCUAUUUCACAGAUUUGGAUUUCAUACAAGUUAUAAUUUGAAAAAAGAUUAUGAGGCAAAAUGAAAGAGAAGGAGGAGAAGGAAAAAAUAAACUACUGGUUCAAUCUCCACAGAGAAACAACCUCUUUAGAAGGCAUAUGGUAUUUCAUCUGCUACAGAAGUAGAUGUAGUAAAUUUUAAACAAAGCAGCAGAGUUACUCAUACCUAGGUUUUCAUUACAGGCCUCUUUUAAAGAUAACAUCUUUGUAAGGGAAGUGGGUGGUGUGGCUGGUCCUCAUGAGUGUUUGAUUUGUCGUUCAAAUCGGUUUUUUCAGAGCCAGCAGUAGGCAUUUAUAGCAACAACAGGGUCUUGACCUGUCUCUUGGAUACCGAGUACAGAUAUCUUCAGGUCAAAGAGAAGACGCAGUGACACUUGGUUUCGUGGUUGGCUCCCAGAUUAGACUUAAAAGGAAGGGAGAAGAGCUAGUCCUUGUAACCCUUCAUCUGUGGAUAAGCAUAGCCCCAUUAGCUGUGAAUCUCUGAUCUCUUGGCUAGAUGCCAUAUAAUAGGUCUCUGUCAGCAUGCAGACAUAGUAGUGACAUGACAUGACAUUUUUCAAUUAAAAAUUUUUGUCACUGAUUUCAUU
This is a long non-coding RNA of Phyllostomus discolor (pale spear-nosed bat), 1380 nucleotides long. RefSeq lists it as uncharacterized. NCBI's taxonomy places the organism in Eukaryota, Metazoa, Chordata, Mammalia, Chiroptera, Phyllostomidae. The record is from RefSeq and is a predicted model, not a curated record. The transcript is spliced from 2 exons.